UACGUAGGGGGCAAGCGUUGUCCGGAUUUAUUGGGCGUAAAGAGCGUGUAGGCGGCCUGGAAGGUCAGCUGUGAAAACUCGAGGCUCAACCUCGAGACGUCGGUUGAAACCACCUGGCUAGAGUCCGGAAGAGGAGAGUGGAAUUCCCGGUGUAGCGGUGAAAUGCGUAGAUAUCCGGAGGAACACCGGUGGCGAAGGCGGCUUCCUGGACUGACACUGACGCUGAGGCGCGAAAGCUAGGGGAGCAAACGGG
Molecule: ribosomal RNA, 253 nt
Filed under: uncultured bacterium
Lineage: Bacteria
Description: partial 16S ribosomal RNA
Rfam family: Bacterial small subunit ribosomal RNA
Source: RNAcentral